RNAcentral lists this long non-coding RNA (600 nucleotides) under Mustela putorius furo (domestic ferret). Its description in RNAcentral is "lncRNA (ENSMPUG00000024438.1)". The record is from RNAcentral. Lineage: Eukaryota; Metazoa; Chordata; Mammalia; Carnivora; Mustelidae.
CUACCCUUUCUUUCCCAGAGGUUGGAGGUUGGUCUGAAAGUACAAAGCUUCUGGUCAAGGCUUGGUCUUCCUUGUGUCCAGCCCAUCCUAGAGUUGUUUAGAGGUCUGCCAAGAGCGGCCUCAUUGAAACAAAAGAUGUUUCUAUCACUCUUAUACUUCAGGAAAUUCCAAAGAUUUUAGGAACUCUGCAUUAAAAAUUAGGAACAGAGGUCAAAUAUAUAUUUCUUAUGUCACACUUGGCUAAAUCUCAAGAUAUAGAAUGGCUAGUUCACAUGAAUUUUUUAGAGGUCGUAUCUUUCAAUGGUUAUAUCCUACUAUUUUUUAAUCCUGGAGAACACAAAAAGAAGUGCAAGAUAUGAUAGUCAAGCAUCAAGAUCUACCUAAACACAUGGGGCCAGACCCAAGAAUACCACCAGAAACCAGAAGUGAGGAGAGACCAUUAAUAUAGCCAAUAGAGGACUGCUUCCUUGAACAGAUAUGAGGGUCAAGGAUGGUGAGUGAACUGGAGGAAUGAAAGGGAAGUUUUCUGUGAAUACAUCUGAAGUUCUUUUUCUUUUCUAAAGUUCUAAAUGAAAAAUUUCUCUUGUAUUAUAACUCAAA